This is a long non-coding RNA of Mus musculus (house mouse), 725 nucleotides long. RefSeq annotates it as predicted gene, 32552. Lineage: Eukaryota; Metazoa; Chordata; Mammalia; Rodentia; Muridae. The record is from RefSeq and is a predicted model, not a curated record. The transcript has 3 exons.
CUCCAAGGUGGGAUGGAUAGAAGGUGCUCCAGGCAUAGGCGUGGUUUCCCAGUAAUUGCUGUGUCCCUCCACUCACAGGAAAUUCUUUGAGCCAUCAGACUCUCUGGACAGGCUGAAGGAAAGGAACAACACACGUCAGCACUUCCUGGUAGAUGCAGCCGGCAGCAUCACAGUAUAUGGUAUCCCGGCAACGGUGUUCCAAGAUUCUUUGGACUCCAUUGAAUUCGGGACACAAUGGAGUCCCCACUGACAACAGCAUAGUCGCCGCUGCCACGACCAACGUUUCUGUGGCCUCCGCUGAGACACACGCCGUGAAAGGAGGUCUCCGGUGCCAUGGGACCCAUCUACAGCACAGCUCCUGCAUCCAAGACUCAAGAAGCCUCUUAGAAGAGGGAAGGGGAAAGAUUGUGAGAGCCAGCGGACCAGGAAAUCUGCUGUGAGAUUGUGCCUCCUAGAAAAAGGACAAGGCAGCUUAACCCACGAUGCAUGAUCACAAUUUUAAAAAAAGAUCGUCCCUGGGGCUGGAGAGAUGGUUCAACGCUUGAGAACGCUUGUUUUUCCAGAAGACCUGAGUUCGGUUCCUGGAACCCUUGUUGGCAGCUCACAGUCAACUAUGACUCUACCUCUAUAGAAUGAGGUGCUUUCGACUCUGACCUCCUCAGACACCCUAGCAUACACACACACACACAGAGAGAGAGAGAGAGAGAGAGAGAGAGAGAGAGAGA